Molecule: long non-coding RNA, 209 nt
Organism: Helianthus annuus (common sunflower)
Lineage: Eukaryota; Viridiplantae; Streptophyta; Magnoliopsida; Asterales; Asteraceae
Exons: 3
Source: RefSeq, a predicted model, not a curated record
UUUUGGUAUGGGUUUAUAUCAGGGUGUUCCGUCUACUCUUGCUUUCAUAGCCUUCGAACUCCCACCUAAUGGAGCUAUUGGCACUCGGAUUCUGGAGUUCCUAUUUCGCUCCAGAUCUGAUAUGAUUGCAGGUGAUCGAUCGUCAGAAGUAUUGAUGAGGCUAUAACAACUGGCACUGCACUCUCGUUGUAAUCUUCUACAUUUGUUCU